Molecule: transfer RNA, 69 nt
Filed under: Rivulus sp. 'Tobogan'
Lineage: Eukaryota; Metazoa; Chordata; Actinopteri; Cyprinodontiformes; Rivulidae
Also listed under: 1 other name
Description: tRNA-Ala
Rfam family: tRNA
About the family: Transfer RNA (tRNA) molecules are approximately 80 nucleotides in length.
Source: RNAcentral
GAGGCUUUAGCUUAAUUAAAGUGUCUGUUUUGCAUGCAGAAGAUGUGGGUUAGUUUCCCGUAAGUCUUA